This 231-nucleotide long non-coding RNA is filed under the name Carica papaya (papaya). RNAcentral describes it as "long non-coding RNA (CPAP_LNC016643)". Lineage: Eukaryota; Viridiplantae; Streptophyta; Magnoliopsida; Brassicales; Caricaceae. The record is from RNAcentral.
AAUGAAAGCUUAAACAUCCUCAAGUAACAAUCCAAACUUUAGAAAAUAUUCAUCAAAUAUAAAAUUUGGACAUGGUACCUUUAAAAAUGGUCCUAUUAUAGCUAGAAAGUAGACAAUAGAUGAUAUAAUUUUAGCGGUUGAUUCAAACUAUCGCAAACGUUGAAAUGUUGCUAGGUAAUACAUGACAAAUAGAGGAACUCAUGUGUCCAUUUCGUGCCCACACUAUCUAUU